AUUGAACGCUGGCGGCAGGCUUAACACAUGCAAGUCGAGCGGGGGAAGGUAGCUUGCUACCGGACCUAGCGGCGGACGGGUGAGUAACACGUGGAUAACCUACCUAUAAGACUGGGAUAACUUCGGGAAACCGGAGCUAAUACCGGAUAAUAUAUUGAACCGCAUGGUUCAAUAGUGAAAGACGGUUUUGCUUUCACUUAUAGAUGGAUCCGCGCCGCAUUAGCCAGUUGGUAAGGUAAGGUCUUACCAAGGCAACGAUGCGUAGCCGACAUGAGAGGGUGAUCGGCCACACUGGAACUGAGACACGGUCCAGACUCCUAGGGGAGGCAGCAGUAGGGAAUCUUCCGCAAUGGGCGAAAGCCUGACGGAGCAACGCCGCGUGAGUGAUGAAGGUCUUCGGAUCGUAAAACUCUGUUAUUAGGGAAGAACAAAUGUGUAAGUAACUAUGCACGUCUUGACGGUACCUAAUCAGAAAGCCACGGCUAACUACGUGCCAGCCGCCGCCGUAA
Molecule: ribosomal RNA, 509 nt
Filed under: uncultured bacterium
Lineage: Bacteria
Description: partial 16S ribosomal RNA
Rfam family: Bacterial small subunit ribosomal RNA
Source: RNAcentral